AGUUUGUUAGAAUUUUCGUGUGUCACAAUGGCUAUUGAAGUCACUAUUUAUAGCUAUACCUAGGGAACAAAGUCCUAGGAUCAAGCCCAUCUUAAAUGACCAUAAUGGGGGCCAUUGAUGAAUAUAUAAUGACAGGUUAUGAAUGCCAAAACCCUCUGUAACGGAUUCUGUAUUUAAUACUAAGAAAUAUUCUUCAUUGAAUGUCAUCUGGUGGAAAAUAUUUGUUUGCCCUCGUUAACAAUGUUCCCUUCAGGGUCUGCCCGGUGUCAACCGAAGUUGUUGUCCCCAAUCUUGAUUUUUACUCGCUUCAUCUUUCGUCUGUCUCCGGCUCCACGUGUCAUUCUAUCAUUCAAGUAUUUAAUGUGAACCAAUUUUACCAUAUACAUAUAGUUCCCCUGCUUUCCAGUGGCACAUCUUUGUGUUAUCGGGAAGUUGGUGAAGAUUACUUUCUUGGUGAAAAAUUUUCUAAACCCUUUUGAAUAUGUCUCUCCGCAUUUAAUACCCCAAACAUGUAUUACUCCAUGAUUUAGCAAUAUUUUCGUCGGUUCUUGAGGUAAUCAUGGCCACAAUUUUAGCCGCAUAUUCCUUUACUUAUACGCCUCAUUCUUCUUCUUUUAUACUUCACAGUUCUACAAACUCUCUCAACUUCUUUGCAUUCAACUCUUUUCUGCUUUCACUCUUUUUUAAUCUUCUUCUUUAAAGAACUCUUAUCACCUUUUGUUGAUCAUGACUUCUUCUUCCAAGAACUUAGGUUUUCUCUCUGGUGGGGGUUCGAAGGAGAACAAAGACAAAGAAAUCACUGUUGAUGUUGACCCCCUACGGUGAGCACCAUCAUUCCCAAAAGACUCAACACAACCAAGGACUUCGAAGAGAAGUUCCCUUCUUCAAGUUCUCGCACUUGGGAUGUUGGCAUAUACCCGUCUUCCAUCCGCCUUUCCAGCAUUUCUAUUGUGAACGAGGAUUGUGAUUGUCAUGAUCUGAACAUCAUUGCUCCCGAACUGGUGGAGCGAGUAACCUUCUCUAAGAAGGGCUUCAUGUACGUUUAUACGUACCCAUUUACUUUGGGUGCAUUUUCUUGGGAGUGGGGGAAUUAACCCCAUGAUUUUGGAGUUGUGCUACAAAUACGAGGUUUGCUUGGCACAAGUGGGUCCUUCUGUAUGGCGAACGGUGGCCUGUCUACGGCGGUUGUGCCAGGAGACGAAGGAGGAGCUCACCUGCGCUCGCAUGAUGAAUCUCUACUCCUCCAAGAUUUUCCGUGAGGGAGUCAUAAAUUUUAGCAAACGUGGCCACCAUGCUUUGCUCACCAGCAUGGAUGACGAUAACGACCGUGGAUAGAUGGAGUGAUUUGUCGUUGUUUCCACCAGGGAUAUUAUCCUGGUGAUACAAUCUAGAUAGCCGUCGAGCAAUUUGGAUUCUAAUUAGAGGCAACUUUCAUAACGGGGCGACUAUAUGUACAAUUUCAACAAAUUAAAGACUACAUUACAUUUGGUGGCUAUACUUGUAAUAUUUAGCUCCCUAGUAUAAAUAGCCAUUAAGGCUCUUAUUUUAGACUUAGCUUAUUUCGAUAUUGAGAUUAUGAACUCCUUGAGUAAUUAUUAUGAUGAAUUCCAUUGUUGAUUGGAAACCUUUAAGGUAGCUUUUGUGGGAAUUCUUCCCCUUGAGGGUUAUCCUAUAGUUUAAGGUUGAUUAGGAUUUAAAUUGAAGUAUAUUUAUGUUUGAUUUCAAGUGUUCUUCAAUUUCCCUAAUUAGUUCUUUGUUAAAUUCUAUCUUUCUCAUUUUUAUUUGUGUUCUAGUUAAUUUUUCUUCCGCGUUCGUAUCAUCUUGGUAUCAGAGCAAAGGUUAAAGGAUUUAUUUCUAUAAAUUCUUUGAUUAUUUGCACUAAUUUUCAUAUCCAAAAAAAAAAGAAAGGAAAAAAGAAUCGAUUGAAUCGUAAGCUGUGACUCAAGCAUUCGAAGACUGAUUUGAGAGGAACGAAUUUGAGCUGCAGGGUUAUAGCAAAUCAAAUCAUAGCUGUGAUUCUCUAAAAUCUCAGAUCUAGUGAGAAACUUGCAUACCUGGUUUGAAUUAUUACUACAAAAAAGCACUUGUGCAAGCUGCGGACUUGAUUUGAGUAUUUGGCUCACAAAUUUUCAGAUCUGUGAGUUUGUGCUCUUCAAGUAAAGAGUUGUAUUUUAAAAAAAAAAAAGAAGCUGAAAUUGGUUGCUUUAUGUUGGAGUGGUUGCUGCUAAAUUACGAGUCCAUUUAGAGGAUACCUAUUAAUCUGAUAGCUCAAAACUUGAAUGAGAAAGCUAAAACUUCCAUCAUUGAAGUUCGUUGUUGCGGCGAAACAUUUGUGAAGCUAACUGUUUGUUUAACUCCUUCAUUGGGCCUAAUUUUUGAGUCUAAAAAUGCGAGUCUCUAUUGAUUUGGUUGACUAAAACUUGAAGAAGGAUUGGACAGCCAUUGCAGCUCAAGCGAAGCUUCAAAGUAAAAAACAUAUAUACAUAAAAUCGAGUUUCCGCAAAUGAGAUUUGUCUCAAGUGGGUGUUCUUGCAAAGGAUCGGGUACUAUGUCUUUGAAUAUUUGAGGUACUUCAACUCCAAAGGAGGGAGUCUCUAAUGAGACCAUUUUGGAGGCUUUACAAGCUUUGAUUAUAAAAGUUGACAACAUGGAAUAUAUGGUCAAGUCACAUGACAACCUUCUUAACCAAUGGCAAGGCUUGUCACCUAAUCUUAACCAAGGAGUGGGAACUAGUUCAACACCACAAAUAAGUUCUACUCCUACCGCACCACACAUUGCAAGCCUAAUCAAUCAACCACAAGUUGAUAACAAUCAAGUACGAAGACAAGGUCCACUUUCACAAGGUAGACAAGAAAGAGUUAAGCAUCAACAAUAAUCACUUAGGCCACAACAACCGCAGAAUGACUUUGAUGAUGAUUUAGACUAUGACGAGCAAUAUGAUGAACCGGUUAGACUCCAACCUAGAAGGAAUGGACAAGGAGGCUUUAGAGGGAGAGGUGGAAGGCAUGGUAGGAAUUAUCAAGAUAGAAACUUGAAUGAUGCUUAUGAUUAUAGUUAUGAUGGAAAUGUUGGUAAUGAAGAACAUGGUAGAAGAUGGGAAUAUGAAGAAGACCGGGAUCUUAAUAACAUCAAGACUUCACUUC
Nicotiana tabacum (common tobacco) is the source of this 3143-nucleotide long non-coding RNA. RefSeq lists it as uncharacterized. The record is from RefSeq and is a predicted model, not a curated record. Lineage: Eukaryota; Viridiplantae; Streptophyta; Magnoliopsida; Solanales; Solanaceae.